CCUUCGGGUCGAGUGGCGCACGGGUGAGUAACGCGUGGGAAUCUGCCCUGUGGUACGGAAUAACAUCGGGAAACUGGUGCUAAUACCGUAUAUCCCCUGAGGGGGAAAGAUUUAUCGCCAUGGGAGGAGCCCGCGUAGGAUUAGCUAGUUGGUGGGGUAAUGGCCUACCAAGGCGACGAUCCUUAGCUGGUCUGAGAGGAUGAUCAGCCACACUGGGACUGAGACACGGCCCAGACUCCUACGGGAGGCAGCAGUGGGGAAUAUUGGACAAUGGGGGAAACCCUGAUCCAGCCAUGCCGCGUGUGUGAUGAAGGCCUUCGGGUUGUAAAGCACUUUCGCACGUGACGAUGAUGACGGUAACGUGAGAAGAAGCCCCGGCUAACUUCGUGCCAGCAGCCGCGGUAAUACGAAGGGGGCAAGCGUUGUUCGGAAUUACUGGGCGUAAAGGGCGCGUAGGCGGUGCACUAAGUCAGGCGUGAAAGCCCUGGGCUCAACCCGGGAAUUGCGCUUGAUACUGGUGCGCUCGAAUCCAGGAGAGGUUGGUGGAAUUCCCAGUGUAGAGGUGAAAUUCGUAGAGAUUGGGAAGAACACCGGUGGCGAAGGCGGCCAACUGGACUGGUAUGACGCUGAG
RNAcentral lists this ribosomal RNA (631 nucleotides) under Skermanella sp. RNAcentral describes it as "bacterial SSU rRNA". It matches the Rfam family "Bacterial small subunit ribosomal RNA", at positions 83 to 750 of the family's 1533-position model. Lineage: Bacteria; Pseudomonadati; Pseudomonadota; Alphaproteobacteria; Rhodospirillales; Azospirillaceae. The record is from RNAcentral.